Lagenorhynchus albirostris (white-beaked dolphin) is the source of this 494-nucleotide long non-coding RNA. RefSeq lists it as uncharacterized. The transcript has 3 exons. Lineage: Eukaryota; Metazoa; Chordata; Mammalia; Artiodactyla; Delphinidae. The record is from RefSeq and is a predicted model, not a curated record.
UUCAGCAUACCAAAGGAGAUGAUGCCUCCCUUAGGAAAAAUUGUGAAGCCCCCAGAGUCUGCAACAACCAUGUCACCAGCUUAGGAGCUGUGGGAGCCAUCUUGUGUUCAUGAAUCAACAAGAAUAAGGGCUGGCAGAGCAGAGGGCAGGAGCCUGAGAUCUGAUGACUUUGCUGAAUGAAGGCCAGCUACCCAGUUGCAGAUAGGAGACCUGUCUUUGAAUUGGAAGCUGAAGUGGGGACACUCCAUUCCGGGCAGAAGAAAUGCUUAUUCUUCUCCACUAAGGAAAAAAACAAGUUACAUAGCAUAAAUGUUUUCUGAAAGCAAUGGAGAUAGAAUGAUCCACCAGAGUUGAAUCAACAGAGGCAAGAGUGGUUUGGAAAAAAACCAAAGUAACAAAAUGUGAUUUAAAAAUACAUUUUACAGGGCUUCCCUGAUGGCGCAGUGGUUGAGAGUCCGCCUGCUGAUGCAGGGGACACGGGUUCGUGCCCUGGU